CAAUUGGUCAUGUGGAUGGAAAUAGUGAGCUAGCUCAUAGUGUGCUUGAGAACUGAUUUAGAGUGCAUUGGUGCAUCCAUCGCAUGGCCCUAUCCAUUCAUCUCGGUAGUCCAUGAGGAUUGAGGACGCAUGAUGACUCAAGAUUUUAUGCUUCUUAUUUCUUUAAUUGCUUGUAAUUUCUUUGUUAAAUA
Helianthus annuus (common sunflower) is the source of this 191-nucleotide long non-coding RNA. RefSeq lists it as uncharacterized. The record is from RefSeq and is a predicted model, not a curated record. NCBI's taxonomy places the organism in Eukaryota, Viridiplantae, Streptophyta, Magnoliopsida, Asterales, Asteraceae. The transcript has 3 exons.